GAUGAACGCUGGCGGCGUGCUUAACACAUGCAAGUCGAACGAUGAGGCCCAGCUUUUGGGGUGGAUUAGUGGCGAACGGGUGAGUAACACGUGAGUAAACUGCCCUUAUCUCUGGGAGAAGCCUGGGAGACUGGGUGUAAUACCGGAUAGGAGCUUUCUUCGCCUGGUGGGUGUUGGAAAGAUUUAUCGGUUUUGGAUGGACUCUCGGCGUAUCAGCUUGUUGGUGAGGUAUUGGCUCACCAAGGGGACGACGGGUAGCCGGCCUGAGAGGGUGACCGGCCACACUGGGACUGAGACACGGCCCAGAAUCCUACGGGAGGCAGCAGUGGGGAAUAUUGCACAAUGGGCGCAAGCCUGAUGCAGCGACGCCGCGUGAGGGAUGACGGCCUUCGGGUUGUAAACCUAUUUCAGUAGGGAAGAAGCGAAAGUGACGGUACCUGCAGAAGAAGCACCGGCUAACUACGUG
RNAcentral lists this ribosomal RNA (466 nucleotides) under uncultured bacterium. RNAcentral describes it as "partial 16S ribosomal RNA". It matches the Rfam family "Bacterial small subunit ribosomal RNA", at positions 28 to 507 of the family's 1533-position model. The record is from RNAcentral.